GCAGCUGCAGGUAGCAGCCUUGAACCACGACACGGCCACCAGCGGCGGCGGGAAGCUCCGCCCGGUUUGAGCUCGUUUUGGUUCCAAGCUUGAUAUCUCAAGCUACCGGCCAACAAUCCUCACCAAACUUCACCCACGAGCUCGCCUCAACGUCCUGAAGCUCCCAGAAGUGGCCUUGCACGGCGGCGCUACUCGUGGUGGCGGCUGGAAGCCAGACCCGAUCAAAUCGAAAACCGAAGCUUCGAUCGGUAUAUCUCGAGCUGUAGUGCAUCGUUUUGAUUGAUUCUUUUUCCAGUGGGUUCCCCUUGAUGUUGUUAACAACUCUCUAGAAGGCAUCGAGGCCUGAAAUUGAAGUUUUUACGUCGAUCGGAGCCCUCGCCGGAUUCUGCAAAAUUCUGCAAAUUUUCCGACCACCGAAGCUUUCGAUCGGUAUAUCUCGAGCUACAGACCAUAUUUUUCUGUGAUUCUUGAACCAAUGCGUUCGUCUUGAGUUUCUUAACAACUCUCUAGAAGGAAUCGAAGCCUGAAAUUGAAGUUUUGACGUCGAAAUCAAGCCUUGCCGGAUUCUGCAAAUUUCGCCGGAUUCUGGAAAUUUUCCGGCCACCUCGACUGUUCUAGGUUAUUGACGGUUUGAGUUGGUGGACGAUUGUGGAUCGUAUUUUGAGCUGAAUUGAAGACGCAGCGGGAUUAUCGAGCGGGAAAUCCUACAGGUCAGGAGAACCAGGACGGUGAUCGGGCUGCUUAGAGUAGUGUUAUGUGAAUUACAGCAUUAUAUUGUGAGGUUUGUUAUGCUCAUUUAGAGCUUUGCAAUUUUACUUUGUAAGAGUGAAUUGUAAUAAUUAACUCGAGGUUUUCGAGUUUUUGUGUUGAGUGGCGAGUGGUAUGUUUGUUUGUGAGAAAAAAAUUCAGAACGUUAUUUGUAUUAAUU
Rosa rugosa (rugosa rose) is the source of this 928-nucleotide long non-coding RNA. RefSeq lists it as uncharacterized. The transcript is spliced from 3 exons. NCBI's taxonomy places the organism in Eukaryota, Viridiplantae, Streptophyta, Magnoliopsida, Rosales, Rosaceae. The record is from RefSeq and is a predicted model, not a curated record.